GCCGGGUGCAUUUUUUUUGCACAAAUAAGGUGACGCGGUACCACUCAAGCCUGUCACUCGCAGACUACUGCACUGGGAAUUUAUCGAGAAACAUAGUUGCUAUCUUGCAAUGAACUUGACUUCAAGCACACAAGAUUGACAGGGGAACAAAGAAGGAAAAAAAAUGAUGGUAGUAUAUUCUGCAAAUUUGUGCUUCUUUUGACAUUCAUAUGAUUAUUAUUUUAGUCGAGUGG
RNAcentral lists this long non-coding RNA (233 nucleotides) under Hordeum vulgare. RNAcentral's name for it is "long non-coding RNA (HVUL_LNC013467)". Lineage: Eukaryota; Viridiplantae; Streptophyta; Magnoliopsida; Poales; Poaceae. The record is from RNAcentral.